Molecule: ribosomal RNA, 250 nt
Filed under: uncultured prokaryote
Description: partial 16S ribosomal RNA
Rfam family: Bacterial small subunit ribosomal RNA
Source: RNAcentral
UACGUAGGUGGCAAGCGUUAUCCGGAAUCAUUGGGCGUAAAGGGUGCGUAGGCGGUUUUUUAAGUCUGUAGUGAAAUCGUGGAGCUCAACUCCAUCAAGCUACGGAAACUGGGGAACUAGAGUGCGGUAGAGGUUAGUGGAAUUCCAUGUGUAGCGGUAAAAUGCGUAGAUAUAUGGAGGAACACCGGUGGCGAAGGCGGCUAACUGGGCCGUAACUGACGCUGAGGCACGAAAGCGUGGGGAGCAAAUA